CACGUAGGCGGCAUGACAAGUCUGGUGUGAAAUAUCUCGGCUCAACCGAGAAAACACACUGGAAACUGUCAAGCUUGAGUAUCGGAGGGGAAGCUAGAAUUCCUGGUGUAGGGGUGAAAUCUGUAGAUAUCAGGAAGAAUACCGGUGGCGAAGGCGAGCUUCUGGCCAGAUACUGACGCUGAGAUGCGAAAGCGUGGGGAGCGAACAGGAUUAGAUACCCUGGUAGUCC
This 229-nucleotide ribosomal RNA is filed under the name uncultured bacterium. Its description in RNAcentral is "partial 16S ribosomal RNA". It matches the Rfam family "Bacterial small subunit ribosomal RNA", at positions 568 to 796 of the family's 1533-position model. The record is from RNAcentral.